GACUCUCGGCAACGGAUAUCUUGGCUCUCGCAUCGAUGAAGAACGUAGCGAAAUGCGAUACUUGGUGUGAAUUGCAGGAUCCCGUGAAUCAUCGAGUUUUUGAACGCAAGUUGCGCCCAAAGCCAUUAGGCCGAGGGCACGCCUGCCUGGGUGUCACACGUUGCGUC
RNAcentral lists this ribosomal RNA (167 nucleotides) under Tetracera scandens. Its description in RNAcentral is "5.8S ribosomal RNA". It matches the Rfam family "5.8S ribosomal RNA". From Rfam's summary of the family: 5.8S ribosomal RNA (5.8S rRNA) is a component of the large subunit of the eukaryotic ribosome. It is transcribed by RNA polymerase I as part of the 45S precursor that also contains 18S and 28S rRNA. Functionally, it is thought that 5.8S rRNA may be involved in ribosome translocation. The record is from RNAcentral. Lineage: Eukaryota; Viridiplantae; Streptophyta; Magnoliopsida; Dilleniales; Dilleniaceae.